Non-coding RNA from Nemania sp. FL0916, 91 nucleotides. The record is from the annotation of a GenBank genome assembly. Lineage: Eukaryota; Fungi; Ascomycota; Sordariomycetes; Xylariales; Xylariaceae.
GCCCCCAUGGCAUAGUGGUUAGUGCGUGCCACUCGUAUGCUGAAUAUGCGAUGAUAUGGCAAGAUCCGCGGUUCGACUCCGCGUGGAGGCA